AACCAGAUAGUGUAGUUGGUUGCUUCUCUGAGCGUCUAUCAGGAGGUCCCUGGUUCAAUUCCAGGUCUGGUCA
The sequence is a transfer RNA, 73 nucleotides long. It matches the Rfam family "tRNA". Rfam says of the family: Transfer RNA (tRNA) molecules are approximately 80 nucleotides in length. Their secondary structure includes four short double-helical elements and three loops (D, anti-codon, and T loops).